AGCGAACGUUAGCGGCGGGCUUAACACAUGCAAGUCGAGCGGUAAGGCCCUUUCGGGGGUACACGAGCGGCGAACGGGUGAGUAACACGUGGGUGACCUGCCCUUAGCUCUGGGAUAAGCCUGGGAAACUGGGUCUAAUACCGGAUAUGACUCCAUGACGCAUGUUGUGGGGUGGAAAGCCUUGUGCGGCUGGGGAUGGGCCCGCGGCCUAUCAGCUUGUUGGUGGGGUGAUGGCCUACCAAGGCGA
RNAcentral lists this ribosomal RNA (247 nucleotides) under uncultured Actinomycetes bacterium. Its description in RNAcentral is "uncultured actinobacterium partial 16S ribosomal RNA". It matches the Rfam family "Bacterial small subunit ribosomal RNA", at positions 29 to 276 of the family's 1533-position model. The record is from RNAcentral. Lineage: Bacteria; Bacillati; Actinomycetota; Actinomycetes.